This is a long non-coding RNA of Daphnia magna, 1126 nucleotides long. RefSeq lists it as uncharacterized. The record is from RefSeq and is a predicted model, not a curated record. The transcript is spliced from 2 exons. Lineage: Eukaryota; Metazoa; Arthropoda; Branchiopoda; Diplostraca; Daphniidae.
CAUUCGAGGUUAACCAUCCUCACGCAUCACGCAUCACCUGGACGUCCGUGAAAAGUUGACGAACCGCUAGUUAAAAAUUUGCAACCUUUCACUUGUCCAAUCGGAGCCCCCAUCCAUAAAUCUAGUUUGUCACGAAGACCUAGAAAGGUUUCGAUUCCUCCAUUCUGACCGGUUGCAUUCAUUUCUCUGACAAACAACCACAAGAAAGUGAAAGUAUCUUCCAUUAGGCUCACCAAAGUUAUUCCGAUGACACGGGCUGUAGCCAAAAUUGGUCAGCUCCCCCAAAAAAAUUCAAGUUGAUGAUGUGCAAGGUCGAUGGGCGCUGUUGGCAAAGGAGUAGUUCCAUAAUUUCAUUUGCCCGUCAAUACGUGAAUAAUUAUUCACUCCUGUACGUAAAGAUUAUUUCUCCCGAUCCACUAUCAUUAGUUUUAAUCUUUAAGUUGUUUUGUGUGUGCCAAUAUUCAAAAAGUAAAAUUAUGAUAGCCCUGCCCUUUCGUGUAACAUCAAAAGGCAAGUGAUUGUCAUUGUCGACCUCGCCCAAACUCACAUAGUUUCAAGGAUUUUCAUUUUCCCAUUUUCAUAGCACGACCAUGACAAUGCCAUUGGUUCGAAUUGCUCUGCAAGCUUGUAAUCAAAGGACGUGUAACAACACGGCUUGAUAUGGUGAUUAUCAGAUUGCAAAAGAAAAUCUCGAUCAAGGCAUUAAACCGCUCAACAAUUCUUUGAUGAUGUGAUCGUAGAUAUUCAAGAAUUAAUCACCCAAACUUCCGUGAAUUCCAUUGAAACAGAAAGCCAAUCAAAGGAUGAUUGAUCCUUUUCGGGGACACAGCACUUGGUACUGAAGAAAUAAGAAAGAAGGGCGGGAUCUUUGAACGCUAGACAUUUUUUUUUCUAAUGAUCAUUGGCAAUUUAUCAUUCAUUUUUAAUUUCUUUUAAAUUUUAUCUAGAUAAAGAAAAAUGGUAAGAAAAAUAAACGAACUCUAUCUAAUAUCUUUGAGGAAAGAAAAUGGAACGAUCGUGGAUAAAGUAUAACCUUGUACGUUUCUCAAUGCCAAUGAUUUGAUAAUGUUGUUAUGUCACUUGCGGAAAGGCGAAUGUACUUUCGGGAAUAAAAUUCAUGAAUCUU